Long non-coding RNA from Labeo rohita (rohu), 695 nucleotides. RefSeq lists it as uncharacterized. NCBI's taxonomy places the organism in Eukaryota, Metazoa, Chordata, Actinopteri, Cypriniformes, Cyprinidae. The transcript is spliced from 4 exons. The record is from RefSeq and is a predicted model, not a curated record.
CGCGUCUUGAACGGAUUGUCACGUUCUCGCAAGACAAAUCUGGGCGACGGUGUAAAAAUAUAUCCAUUAAUCUGCACGUUCACCAUACUAACGUAUCUACAAAGGUCUACUCAUAAGAUGAAGAAACAAACUCAUCUACAUCUUGGAUGACCUGAGGCCCCAGCUUUGCUCUUUGAGAUGAAAACGGCCAGAUCUUCACUUGAGUGUCUAGUUUAAAAUUUUCUAACUUACCAUGGAUGUUCCUGAGGGAUUUUAUCACGCAUUGACUACAAGAGAAUGCAAAUGGCAUACACAGGCAUGAAUCUGGGACAAGAUGGCCAUGACCUGCAGAGGUCUCCUCUCUGAGCCGGGCGUCUGGGGAUUCAGAAUUCUCCACAGCUGAAGCUUAAUUAGCCCAACUCUGUUGCCUGGAGAAGUGUUCAGCGCUUGACCUUUCCUAAAGGUAAGCGACCGGCGCGUGUUCAACAGGCCACAGGAAAAUGAGCAGCACCAAGGAGGUUUCUGACAAGCCCAACUAGGAGGGGAGGUGGAGAUGGUGAAGGCAUUUGAGUUGGCGCCCAGACAGUGUCUCGUCUAAAGAUACCCUGAGAAACAUGCGAUGCCAAAGGGAAGUUUAUCUGUGUUUCUGCUGCUGAUCAUUAAAAAGAGACUGAGCUGAAUGCACAGCAGGUUUUGUGUUUAUCAGAAGUGGGUUU